GACGAACGCUGGCGGCGUGCUUAACACAUGCAAGUCGAACGGAAAGGCCCUGCUUUUGUGGGGUGCUCGAGUGGCGAACGGGUGAGUAACACGUGAGUAACCUGCCCUUGACUUUGGGAUAACUUCAGGAAACUGGGGCUAAUACCGGAUAGGAGCUCCUGCUGCAUGGUGGGGGUUGGAAAGUUUCGGCGGUUGGGGAUGGACUCGCGGCUUAUCAGCUUGUUGGUGGGGUAGUGGCUUACCAAGGCUUGGACGGGUAGCCGGCCUGAGAGGGUGACCGGCCACAUUGGGACUGAGAUACGGCCCAGACUCCUACGGGAGGCAGCAGUGGGGAAUAGUGCACAAUGGGCGGAAGCCUGAUGCAGCAACGCCGCGUGCGGGAUGACGGCCUUCGGGUUGUAAACCGCUUUCGCCUGUGACGAAGCGUGAGUGACGGUAAUGGGUAAAGAAGCACCGGCUAACUACGUG
Molecule: ribosomal RNA, 468 nt
Filed under: uncultured bacterium
Lineage: Bacteria
Description: partial 16S ribosomal RNA
Rfam family: Bacterial small subunit ribosomal RNA
Source: RNAcentral